GUAGGGGGCAAGCGUUGUCCGGAAUGAUUGGGCGUAAAGGGCGCGUAGGCGGCCUGAUAAGUUUGAAGUGAAAGUCCUUCUNNUAAGGAGGGAACUGCUUUGAAAACUGUUGGGCUUGAGUGCAGGAGAGGGAAGUGGAAUUCCAUGUGUAGCGGUGAAAUGCGUAGAGAUAUGGAGGAACACCAGUGGCGAAGGCGGCUUCCUGGUCUGUAACUGACACUGAGGCGCGAAAGCGUGGGGAGCAAACAGGAUUAGAUACCCUGGUAGUCCACGCCGUAAACGAUGAGUGCUAAGUGUUGGGGGUCGAACCUCAGUGCUGAAGUUAACGCAUUAAGCACUCCGCCUGGGGAGUACGGUCGCAAGACUGAAACUCAAAGG
This 378-nucleotide ribosomal RNA is filed under the name uncultured bacterium. RNAcentral describes it as "bacterial SSU rRNA". It matches the Rfam family "Bacterial small subunit ribosomal RNA", at positions 527 to 907 of the family's 1533-position model. The record is from RNAcentral.